GCUGGCGGCGUGCCUAACACAUGCAAGUGGAGCGACGAACCGGGCUUCGGCCCGGGGCAGAGCCGCGAACGGGUGAGUAACACGUGGGUAACGUGCCCCGAUGAUUGGGACAACCCGAGGAAACUCGGGCUAAUACCAAAUGUGCCCUCCAGCCAUAAGGCUGUCGGGGAAAGGAAGCUUCGGCCUCCGCAUCGGGAUCGGCCCGCGGCCCAUUAGCUUGUUGGUGAGGUAACGGCUCACCAAGGCUACGAUGGGUAGCUGGUCUGAGAGGACGAUCAGCCACACUGGGACUGAGACACGGCCCAGACUCCUACGGGAGGCAGCAGUGGGGAAUCUUGCGCAAUGCGCGAAAGCGUGACGCAGCAACGCCGCGUGGGCGAAGAAGGCCUUCGGGUUGUAAAGCCCUUUCAGUUGGGACGAAGCUUCGUCGGUUAAUAGCCCGGUUGGAGUGACGGUACCUUCAGAAGAAGCCCCGGCUAACUACGUGCCAGCAGCCGCGGUAAUACGUAGGGGGCAAGCGUUGUCCGGAAUCAUUGGGCGUAAAGCGCGUGUAGGCGG
RNAcentral lists this ribosomal RNA (558 nucleotides) under uncultured soil bacterium. Its description in RNAcentral is "bacterial SSU rRNA". It matches the Rfam family "Bacterial small subunit ribosomal RNA", at positions 35 to 578 of the family's 1533-position model. The record is from RNAcentral.